UAAGGAAUAUUGGUCAAUGGAGGCAACUCUGAACCAGCCAUGCCGCGUGAAGGAUUAAGGCCCUCUGGGUUGUAAACUUCUUUUAUAUGGGAAGAAAUGUUCUGAUUCUUCAGAGCUUGACGGUACCAUAGGAAUAAGCACCGGCUAACUCCGUGCCAGCAGCCGCGGUAAUACGGAGGGUGCAAGCGUUAUCCGGAUUCACUGGGUUUAAAGGGUGCGUAGGUGGGCAGAUAAGUGAGUGGUGAAAUCUUCCGGCUUAACCGGAAAAUUGCCGUUGAUACUAUUUGUCUUGAAUAUUGUGGAGGUAAGCGGAAUAUGUCAUGUAGCGGUGAAAUGCUUAGAUAUGACAUAGAACACCAAUUGCGAAGGCAGCUUACUAUAUAAUUAUUGACACUGAGGCACGAAAGCGUGGGUAGCGAACA
Molecule: ribosomal RNA, 422 nt
Filed under: uncultured bacterium
Lineage: Bacteria
Description: bacterial SSU rRNA
Rfam family: Bacterial small subunit ribosomal RNA
Source: RNAcentral